RNAcentral lists this ribosomal RNA (253 nucleotides) under uncultured bacterium. RNAcentral's name for it is "partial 16S ribosomal RNA". It matches the Rfam family "Bacterial small subunit ribosomal RNA", at positions 524 to 776 of the family's 1533-position model. The record is from RNAcentral.
UACGUAUGGGGCAAGCGUUAUCCGGAUUUACUGGGUGUAAAGGGAGCGUAGGCGGCGGGGCAAGCCUGAUGUGAAAGCCCGGGGCUCAACCCCGGGACUGCAUCGGGAACUGCCCUGCUGGAGUGCCGGAGGGGCAGGCGGAAUUCCUAGUGUAGCGGUGAAAUGCGUAGAUAUUAGGAGGAACACCAGUGGCGAAGGCGGCCUGCUGGACGGUGACUGACGCUGAGGCUCGAAAGCGUGGGGAGCAAACAGG